Molecule: ribosomal RNA, 428 nt
Filed under: Chloroflexota bacterium
Lineage: Bacteria; Bacillati; Chloroflexota
Description: Chloroflexi bacterium partial 16S ribosomal RNA
Rfam family: Bacterial small subunit ribosomal RNA
Source: RNAcentral
UGGGGAAUAUUGCACAAUGGGCGCAAGCCUGAUGCAGCCAUGCCGCGUGUGUGAAGAAGGCCUUCGGGUUGUAAAGUACUUUCAGCGGGGAGGAAGGGAGUAAAGUUAAUACCUUUGCUCAUUGACGUUACCCGCAGAAGAAGCACCGGCUAACUCCGUGCCAGCAGCCGCGGUAAUACGGAGGGUGCAAGCGUUAAUCGGAAUUACUGGGCGUAAAGCGCACGCAGGCGGUUUGUUAAGUCAGAUGUGAAAUCCCCGGGCUCAACCUGGGAACUGCAUCUGAUACUGGCAAGCUUGAGUCUCGUAGAGGGGGUAGAAUUCCAGGUGUAGCGGUGAAAUGCGUAGAGAUCUGGAGGAAUACCGGUGGCGAAGGCGGCCCCCUGGACGAAGACUGACGCUCAGGUGCGAAAGCGUGGGGAGCAAACAGG